This 467-nucleotide ribosomal RNA is filed under the name uncultured bacterium. RNAcentral's name for it is "bacterial SSU rRNA". It matches the Rfam family "Bacterial small subunit ribosomal RNA", at positions 329 to 793 of the family's 1533-position model. The record is from RNAcentral.
GUCCAGACUCCUACGGGAGGCAGCAGUGGGGAAUAUUGCACAAUGGGGGAAACCCUGAUGCAGCGACGCCGCGUGAGUGAAGAAGUAUUUCGGUAUGUAAAGCUCUAUCAGCAGGGAAGAAAUAGCGACCUUUGGGUCGCCAGACGGUACCUGACUAAGAAGCCCCGGCUAACUACGUGCCAGCAGCCGCGGUAAUACGUAGGGGGCAAGCGUUAUCCGGAUUUACUGGGUGUAAAGGGAGCGUAGACGGCAGCACAAGUCUGAAGUGAAAUGCCGGGGCUUAACCCCGGAACUGCUUUGGAAACUGAGUAACUGGAGUGCUGGAGGGGCAGGCGGAAUUCCUGGUGUAGCGGUGAAAUGCGUAGAUAUCAGGAGGAACACCGGUGGCGAAGGCGGCCUGCUGGACAGUAACUGACGUUGAGGCUCGAAAGCGUGGGGAGCAAACAGGAUUAGAUACCCCCGUAAUG